CCUAUCAAAUUUCGAUGGUACUUUCUGUGCCUACCAUGGUGACCACGGGUAACGGAGAUUCAGGGUUCGAUUCCG
RNAcentral lists this ribosomal RNA (75 nucleotides) under Pelobates cultripes (western spadefoot toad). Its description in RNAcentral is "SSU_rRNA_eukarya". The record is from RNAcentral. Lineage: Eukaryota; Metazoa; Chordata; Amphibia; Anura; Pelobatidae.